Molecule: long non-coding RNA, 364 nt
Organism: Herpailurus yagouaroundi (jaguarundi)
Lineage: Eukaryota; Metazoa; Chordata; Mammalia; Carnivora; Felidae
Exons: 3
Source: RefSeq, a predicted model, not a curated record
AGGUGAGGUCAGCAUCUCUACUCUCUCCCUGCUCUACUGUUCUACCCUUCCUAACCAAUGACAUGGACCUUGGCUAAGGCUGAUGAAAGCAUGGGAAGGUUCUUUGCAGUUCAGGGACUCUUCUGUCAAUUCCUGGACCUAGGCACAGGAGCUUAAGAUGGUUCAAGUUGCUUCACUCUCUGCUAUCUCUGUUCCAACCUCAGGUAUUAUUCAACUUUUAUAGGAAGAAAAAUGUGAAAACAACUAGGUUUAUUACAUCACCCCCACUUUCUUGUUUAAUGAAGAGAAAAUUGUGAAAGUUAAGAAAAUGAUAGCUAUUGUAUAAUUUUGAAGUGAAAAAAAAAGAUUUUCUAAAUAUGAUAUC